CAACGGAUCUCUUGGUUCUCGCAUCGAUGAAGAACGUAGCAAAGUGCGAUAACUAGUGUGAAUUGCAUAUUCAGUGAAUCAUCGAGUCUUUGAACGCAUCUUGCGCUCAUUGGUAUUCCAAUGAGCACGCCUGUUUCAGUAUCA
Molecule: ribosomal RNA, 144 nt
Filed under: Pilaira anomala
Lineage: Eukaryota; Fungi; Mucoromycota; Mucoromycetes; Mucorales; Mucoraceae
Also listed under: 3 other names
Description: 5.8S ribosomal RNA
Rfam family: 5.8S ribosomal RNA
About the family: 5.8S ribosomal RNA (5.8S rRNA) is a component of the large subunit of the eukaryotic ribosome. It is transcribed by RNA polymerase I as part of the 45S precursor that also contains 18S and 28S rRNA.
Source: RNAcentral